Molecule: ribosomal RNA, 528 nt
Filed under: uncultured Bacillota bacterium
Lineage: Bacteria; Bacillati; Bacillota
Description: bacterial SSU rRNA
Rfam family: Bacterial small subunit ribosomal RNA
Source: RNAcentral
AUGAAACUCAAAGGAAUUGACGAGGACCCGCACAAGCGGUGGAGCAUGUGGUUUAAUUCGAAGCAACGCGAAGAACCUUACCUGGUCUUGACAUCCUGCUGACCGUCCCGUAACGGGGGCUUUCCUUCGGGACAGCAGAGACAGGUGGUGCAUGGUCGUCGUCAGCUCGUGUCGUGAGAUGUUGGGUUAAGUCCAGCAACGAGCGCAAUCCCUAUCUUUAGUAGCCAGCAUUCCGGAUGGGCACUCUAGAGAGACUGCCAGGGACAACCUGGAGGAAGGCGGGGAUGACGUCAAAUCAUCAUGCCCCUUAUGGCCAGGGCUACACACGUGCUACAAUGGCGUAAACAAAGGGAGGCAGAAUCGUGAGAUGGAGCAAAUCCCAAAAAUAACGUCCCAGUUCUGAUUGUAGUGUGCACCCCUGGUACAUGAAGAUGGAAUCGCUAGUAAUCGCGGAUCAGAAUGCCGCGGUGAAUACGUUCCCGGGUCUUGUACACCCCGCCCGUCACCCCAUGGGAACCGGAAAUGCCC